UACAGAGGUGGCAAGCGUUGUUCGGAAUUACUGGGCGUAAAGCGCACGCAGGUGGCUGAGAAAGUCGAUUGUGAAAGCCCUGGGCUUAACCUGGGAAUUGCAGUCGAAACUACUCGGCUAGAGUAUGGGAGAGGGUAGUGGAAUUCCCGGUGUAGCGGUGAAAUGCGUAGAUAUCGGGAGGAACAUCAGUGGCGAAGGCGGCUACCUGGACCGACACUGACGCUGAGGCGCGAAAGCCAGGGGAGCAAACGGG
RNAcentral lists this ribosomal RNA (253 nucleotides) under uncultured bacterium. RNAcentral describes it as "partial 16S ribosomal RNA". It matches the Rfam family "Bacterial small subunit ribosomal RNA", at positions 524 to 776 of the family's 1533-position model. The record is from RNAcentral.